GACGAACGCUGGCGGCGUGCUUAACACAUGCAAGUCGAACAAUGACGACCGAGCUUGCUCGGUCUGAUUAGUGGCGAACGGGUGAGUAACACGUGAGCAACCUGCCCUUCACUCUGGGAUAACCUCGGGAAAUCGGGGCUAAUACCGGAUAUGAGCUCCUGUCGCAUGGCGGGUGUUGGAAAGUUUUUCGGUGAAGGAUGGGCUCGCGGCCUAUCAGUUUGUUGGUGAGGUAGUGGCUCACCAAGGCGAUGACGGGUAGCCGGCCUGAGAGGGCGACCGGCCACACUGGGACUGAGACACGGCCCAGACUCCUACGGGAGGCAGCAGUGGGGAAUAUUGCACAAUGGGCGAAAGCCUGAUGCAGCGACGCCGCGUGAGGGAUGACGGCCUUCGGGUUGUAAACCUCUUUCAGCAGGGAAGAAGCGAAAGUGACGGUACCUGCAGAAGAAGCGCCGGCUAACUACGUG
RNAcentral lists this ribosomal RNA (467 nucleotides) under uncultured bacterium. RNAcentral describes it as "partial 16S ribosomal RNA". It matches the Rfam family "Bacterial small subunit ribosomal RNA", at positions 28 to 507 of the family's 1533-position model. The record is from RNAcentral.